This 1447-nucleotide ribosomal RNA is filed under the name uncultured organism. RNAcentral describes it as "SSU rRNA". It matches the Rfam family "Bacterial small subunit ribosomal RNA". The record is from RNAcentral.
GAACGCUAGCUACAGGCUUAACACAUGCAAGUCGAGGGGCAGCAUGGUCUUAGCUUGCUAAGGCCGAUGGCGACCGGCGCACGGGUGAGUAACACGUAUCCAACCUGCCGUCUACUCUUGGACAGCCUUCUGAAAGGAAGAUUAAUACAAGAUGGCAUCAUGAGUCCGCAUGUUCACAUGAUUAAAGGUAUUCCGGUAGACGAUGGGGAUGCGUUCCAUUAGAUAGUAGGCGGGGUAACGGCCCACCUAGUCUUCGAUGGAUAGGGGUUCUGAGAGGAAGGUCCCCCACAUUGGAACUGAGACACGGUCCAAACUCCUACGGGAGGCAGCAGUGAGGAAUAUUGGUCAAUGGGCGAGAGCCUGAACCAGCCAAGUAGCGUGAAGGAUGACUGCCCUAUGGGUUGUAAACUUCUUUUAUAAAGGAAUAAAGUCGGGUAUGGAUACCCGUUUGCAUGUACUUUAUGAAUAAGGAUCGGCUAACUCCGUGCCAGCAGCCGCGGUAAUACGGAGGAUCCGAGCGUUAUCCGGAUUUAUUGGGUUUAAAGGGAGCGUAGAUGGAUGUUUAAGUCAGUUGUGAAAGUUUGCGGCUCAACCGUAAAAUUGCAGUUGAUACUGGAUAUCUUGAGUGCAGUUGAGGCAGGCGGAAUUCGUGGUGUAGCGGUGAAAUGCUUAGAUAUCACGAAGAACUCCGAUUGCGAAGGCAGCCUGCUAAGCUGCAACUGACAUUGAGGCUCGAAAGUGUGGGUAUCAAACAGGAUUAGAUACCCUGGUAGUCCACACGGUAAACGAUGAAUACUCGCUGUUUGCGAUAUACAGCAAGCGGCCAAGCGAAAGCGUUAAGUAUUCCACCUGGGGAGUACGCCGGCAACGGUGAAACUCAAAGGAAUUGACGGGGGCCCGCACAAGCGGAGGAACAUGUGGUUUAAUUCGAUGAUACGCGAGGAACCUUACCCGGGCUUAAAUUGCAGAUGAAUUACGGUGAAAGCCGUAAGCCGCAAGGCAUCUGUGAAGGUGCUGCAUGGUUGUCGUCAGCUCGUGCCGUGAGGUGUCGGCUUAAGUGCCAUAACGAGCGCAACCCUUGUUGUCAGUUACUAACAGGUUCCGCUGAGGACUCUGACAAGACUGCCAUCGUAAGAUGUGAGGAAGGUGGGGAUGACGUCAAAUCAGCACGGCCCUUACGUCCGGGGCUACACACGUGUUACAAUGGGGGGUACAGAGGGCCGCUACCACGCGAGUGGAUGCCAAUCCCCAAAACCUCUCUCAGUUCGGACUGGAGUCUGCAACCCGACUCCACGAAGCUGGAUUCGCUAGUAAUCGCGCAUCAGCCACGGCGCGGUGAAUACGUUCCCGGGCCUUGUACACACCGCCCGUCAAGCCAUGGGAGCCGGGGGUACCUGAAGUGCGUAACCGCGAGGAGCGCCCUAGGGUAAAACUGGUGACUGGGGCU